ACGCGCGGAACCUUACCAGGUCUUGACAUCCUUCGCUACUUCUAGAGAUAGAAGGUUCCCCUUCGGGGGACGAAGUGACAGGUGGUGCAUGGUUGUCGUCAGCUCGUGUCGUGAGAUGUUGGGUUAAGUCCCGCAACGAGCGCAACCCUUGAUCUUAGUUGCCAGCAUUCAGUUGGGCACUCUAAGGUGACUGCCGGUGACAAACCGGAGGAAGGUGGGGAUGACGUCAAAUCAUCAUGCCCCUUAUGACCUGGGCUACACACGUGCUACAAUGGACGGUACAAACGGUUGCCAACCCGCGAGGGGGAGCUAAUCCGAUAAAACCGUUCUCAGUUCGGAUUGUAGGCUGCAACUCGCCUACAUGAAGCCGGAAUCGCUAGUAAUCGCGGAUCAGCAUGCCGCGGUGAAUACGUUCCCGGGCCUUGCACACACCGCCCGU
RNAcentral lists this ribosomal RNA (439 nucleotides) under uncultured bacterium. Its description in RNAcentral is "bacterial SSU rRNA". It matches the Rfam family "Bacterial small subunit ribosomal RNA", at positions 959 to 1397 of the family's 1533-position model. The record is from RNAcentral.